RNAcentral lists this transfer RNA (73 nucleotides) under Trachymyrmex cornetzi. It matches the Rfam family "tRNA". From Rfam's summary of the family: Transfer RNA (tRNA) molecules are approximately 80 nucleotides in length. Their secondary structure includes four short double-helical elements and three loops (D, anti-codon, and T loops). Further hydrogen bonds mediate the characteristic L-shaped molecular structure. tRNAs have two regions of fundamental functional importance: the anti-codon, which is responsible for specific mRNA codon recognition, and the 3' end, to which the tRNAs corresponding amino acid is attached (by aminoacyl-tRNA synthetases). tRNAs cope with the degeneracy of the genetic code in two manners: having more than one tRNA (with a specific anti-codon) for a particular amino acid; and 'wobble' base-pairing, i.e. permitting non-standard base-pairing at the 3rd anti-codon position. Lineage: Eukaryota; Metazoa; Arthropoda; Insecta; Hymenoptera; Formicidae. The record is from Rfam by way of RNAcentral.
GCCUCGGUAGUAUAAAGGUUUAGGACGCUCACACGGAAUGCAAGAAGUCCGGGUUCGACUCCCGGCCGAGGUA